This is a non-coding RNA of Aegilops tauschii subsp. strangulata, 1477 nucleotides long. The record is from RefSeq and is a predicted model, not a curated record. NCBI's taxonomy places the organism in Eukaryota, Viridiplantae, Streptophyta, Magnoliopsida, Poales, Poaceae.
UGUAUUUUCGGCACUGCACCCGCAAUGGGACAAGUUGAUGAAGACUGCCGGCUUGACAGAUAUAAGGAGUAAUUGACCAAAAAACUACCACAUUUCACGUAUCCGUCCCACAGAACUACCACAUUUUAAAAAUUGACCGAAAACUCCAGAUUAAUACUAAUUUUGUGACAAAAAACUACCGGCAGCGUUGAUGAUGACCGUUUUUAUGAUUUUAAACCUGUUUAUGACAUGUGGGACCGGCAGCAAAGUCAACUCUGUUUAUUUUGACCGUGGAGUUAACCGUUAUGACAAAUGGAACCCACACGUCAUCAUCAACCUUCUUCUUCUUCCCCUCCUUCUCUGUUUGACAUUUCAACAAGCACCUUAUGCUUAUGUGCAUCGGGCAGCACCACCAUGCCGACGCGUCGACGCCGGUGAGCAGCGGCAGCCCGUGGCACCGGCGAUUCUUCCUCCCCCGAUUCCCUCACCCGCGCCGCCACCCACGGCCGACCCUCUUCUGUUCCUCGGACGGACCUUGCCGCCGGGCUGCGCUCUCAUCACAGGACAUGACAAGGGAAGGAGGAGAGGGAGAUCCAGCGACGGCCAUGGCAGAUCGAGCACGCUCCUCCGGUCCUCCCUACCAGAUCCGUAGCCUCCAUCCGGGGCGGAACCGGCGACGACGACACGCCGUGCGUGAGGAGACGGGUGGAGGGGCUCGCGCUGCCGGGACAGAACCUCCGACGACGCGGCCGUGCCAACCCUCUCCUCAGGCGACGGCGGCGGCCUUCAUUCUCUCUCGGUGGGGAGCUUGCUGCUGCGACACCGGUGAUGGGUUGCAUAUGGUAUUCCACACACCGGCGAGGACGACCAUGCCAACAUCAGUGGCAGUGGCGCACGAGCUCGUCACCGCCGGUGGUCUCCAUGCACUUGCGCAUGCGCGUGGUGCCAGUCGAUGGUGGUGCACGCCAUCACCCGAGCCUGGGGCCAGAGCUCUACUUGUCCUCGCCGGUGUCCUGCUCUGCUGCUGGUAAGGUGUUCGAGGAAAUGCCAACAAGAAGAAGAAGAGGAGGAAGAAGAAGGUUGGUGCUAACGUGUGGGCCGUUAGCCGUUAGCGCGGCAGCCGUCCUGACAGGGCCGGAAGAUGUUGUAGCGGUGUGGACGUGAAACAGGAAUAAUAUAGAAAGAACCCAGUGAGGGAGCAGCACUGGAUAUUGUCCGCGAGAUUACCAGAAUCACCCAGCACAAGCCUCUUGAGCGAUGGCGCCACCAAACUUUGGGAGCAGAUAUUUGGGCAAUGGACCACCUCCAGUUCUUCAAGGUAACGAAACCCCCCAAAUCUUUCAGUUGGUAGGUACACUAACCUCCCGCAUCUUUUAAUUGUUAUUUUUCUGAUUGUUGGCACACAAGUUGGAUGUAGAAAAUGUUCAAGGCUUGAUAAUUUGUGGCAACCAGAAAUUGUUACAUUUGUCAGGGAGAAGAAAGUACAACUACCAUCAAA